RNAcentral lists this ribosomal RNA (269 nucleotides) under uncultured bacterium. RNAcentral describes it as "partial small subunit ribosomal RNA". It matches the Rfam family "Bacterial small subunit ribosomal RNA", at positions 26 to 291 of the family's 1533-position model. The record is from RNAcentral.
AGGACGAACGCUGGCGGCGUGGAUUAGGCAUGCAAGUCGCGCGACAGACAAGGGCUUGCCCUUGUUAUGGAGCGGCGAACGGGUGAGUAACACGUGAAUAACCUGCCCUCACAUUCCGGAUAAUUGGCCGAAAGGCCUUGUAAUACGGGGGAGGAUUCUUCUGGGGCAUCUCAGAAGAAGGGAAGGCGCAAGCCGUGCGAGGAGGGGUUCGCGGAUUAUCAGGUAGUUGGUGGGGUAACGGCCUACCAAGCCGACGACGAUUAGCUGGU